CCUACGGGAGGCUGCAGUGAGGAAUAUUGGUCAAUGGACGAGAGUCUGAACCAGCCAAGUAGCGUGAAGGAUGACUGCCCUAUGGGUUGUAAACUUCUUUUAUAUGGGAAUAAAACGUUCCACGUGUGGGAUUUUGUAUGUACCAUAUGAAUAAGGAUCGGCUAACUCCGUGCCAGCAGCCGCGGUAAUACGGAGGUUCCGAGCGUUAUACGGAUUUAUUGGGUUUAAAGGGAGCGUAGGUGGAUUGUUAAGUCAGUUGUGAAAGUUUGCGGCUCAAACGUAAAAUUGCAGUUGAAACUGGCAGUCUUGAGUACAGUAGAGGUGGGCGGAAUUCGUGGUGUAGCGGUGAAAUGCUUAGAUAUCACGAAGAACUCCGAUUGCGAAGGCAGUUCACUGGACUGCAACUGACACUGAGGCUCGAAAGUGUGGGUAUCAAACAGGAUUAGAUACCCUUGUAGUC
RNAcentral lists this ribosomal RNA (460 nucleotides) under uncultured bacterium. Its description in RNAcentral is "partial 16S ribosomal RNA". It matches the Rfam family "Bacterial small subunit ribosomal RNA", at positions 338 to 795 of the family's 1533-position model. The record is from RNAcentral.